AGGGGUAUAGUUUAAUGGUAGAACAACGGUCUCCAAAACCGUCGGUGGGGGUUCGACUCCCUCUACCCCUGCCA
RNAcentral lists this transfer RNA (74 nucleotides) under Weissella minor. RNAcentral describes it as "tRNA-Trp". It matches the Rfam family "tRNA". From Rfam's summary of the family: Transfer RNA (tRNA) molecules are approximately 80 nucleotides in length. Lineage: Bacteria; Bacillati; Bacillota; Bacilli; Lactobacillales; Lactobacillaceae. The record is from RNAcentral. RNAcentral also lists the same sequence under 2 other names.